RNAcentral lists this ribosomal RNA (253 nucleotides) under uncultured bacterium. RNAcentral describes it as "partial 16S ribosomal RNA". It matches the Rfam family "Bacterial small subunit ribosomal RNA", at positions 524 to 776 of the family's 1533-position model. The record is from RNAcentral.
UACGAAGGGUGCAAGCGUUACUCGGAAUUACUGGGCGUAAAGGGUGCGUAGGUGGUUGUUUAAGUCUGCUGUGAAAGCCCCGGGCUCAACCUGGGAAUGGCAGUGGAUACUGGACAGCUAGAGAUCGGGAGAGGAGAGUGGAAUUCCCAGUGUAGAGGUGAAAUUCGUAGAUAUUGGGAAGAACACCGGUGGCGAAGGCGGCUCUCUGGACCGAUACUGACGCUGAGGCGCGAAAGCGUGGGGAGCAAACAGG